Molecule: transfer RNA, 22 nt
Filed under: Metrosideros excelsa (New Zealand Christmas tree)
Lineage: Eukaryota; Viridiplantae; Streptophyta; Magnoliopsida; Myrtales; Myrtaceae
Also listed under: 19 other names
Description: partial tRNA-Leu
Source: RNAcentral
GUUCAAGUCCCUCUAUCCCCAA